RNAcentral lists this ribosomal RNA (744 nucleotides) under uncultured Paracoccaceae bacterium. RNAcentral describes it as "bacterial SSU rRNA". It matches the Rfam family "Bacterial small subunit ribosomal RNA", at positions 10 to 800 of the family's 1533-position model. The record is from RNAcentral. Lineage: Bacteria; Pseudomonadati; Pseudomonadota; Alphaproteobacteria; Rhodobacterales; Paracoccaceae.
AGUUUGAUCCUGGCUCAGAACGAACGCUGGCGGCAGGCCUAAUACAUGCAAGUCGAGCGCAUCCUUCGGGAUGAGCGGCGGACGGGUGAGUAACGCGUGGGAAUAUGCCCUUCUCUAAGGAAUAGCCUCGGGAAACUGAGAGUAAUACCUUAUACGCCCUUCGGGGGAAAGAUUUAUCGGAGAAGGAUUAGCCCGCGUUAGAUUAGGUAGUUGGUGGGGUAAUGGCCUACCAAGCCUACGAUCUAUAGCUGGUUUGAGAGGAUGAUCAGCCACACUGGGACUGAGACACGGCCCAGACUCCUACGGGAGGCAGCAGUAGGGAAUCUUAGACAAUGGGGGAAACCCUGAUCUAGCCAUGCCGCGUGUGUGAUGAAGGCCUUAGGGUCGUAAAGCACUUUCGCCAGAGAUGAUAAUGACAGUAUCUGGUAAAGAAACCCCGGCUAACUCCGUGCCAGCAGCCGCGGUAAUACGGAGGGGGUUAGCGUUGUUCGGAAUUACUGGGCGUAAAGCGCACGUAGGCGGAUUAGUAAGUUAGAGGUGAAAUCCCAGGGCUCAACCCUGGAACUGCCUUUAAUACUGCUAGUCUUGAGUUCGAGAGAGGUAAGUGGAAUUCCAAGUGUAGAGGUGAAAUUCGUAGAUAUUUGGAGGAACACCAGUGGCGAAGGCGGCUUACUGGCUCGAUACUGACGYUGAGGUGCGAAAGUGUGGGGAGCAAACAGGAUUAGAUACCCUGGUAGUCCACAC